GCGAAUGUGGCGAAAUUGGCAUACGCGCUAGACUUAGGAUCUAGUGGGCUUAGUCCCGUGGGGGUUCGAGUCCCCCCAUUCGCACCA
RNAcentral lists this transfer RNA (87 nucleotides) under Bacteroidota bacterium. Its description in RNAcentral is "tRNA-Leu". It matches the Rfam family "tRNA". From Rfam's summary of the family: Transfer RNA (tRNA) molecules are approximately 80 nucleotides in length. RNAcentral also lists the same sequence under 1 other name. The record is from RNAcentral. Lineage: Bacteria; Pseudomonadati; Bacteroidota.